GUCCAGCCUGACCUUGAGUGUCUCCAGGGAUGAUGCAUCCACCACCUCUCUGAGCACCCUGUGCCAGUGUGUCAGGGUGCUCAGCAUCCCCAUUCCUCCCCUCACCACAGUUACUUGCCCUCUCUUGCAGACCCCAUCCUGUUGCCACUUCUAAAUUUCUCUGUUUUCCCUGAGGGAUGGAGAAUGGCUUUUAUAUUCCCCAUCCCCCAUCUCCAUCUUUCCUUACUGCUAUGUCAAGCAUGAAAUAACACUACUUUUAUUACCACAGAAAUGAUUUUUUGAACAUUUCAUUUGCUCAUUACCCAUUUUUGGUGGGUUUUUUGUUUUUUUCCCUCCUGUGUAUCAGUGAAUUUGGGUAGUGAAAGCACCUGCUUCAUUUUGACCUUCUGCCUACUUAAUAUCCCUCUCCUGUUCUCAUGCAACAGCACGGCAUUGAAAAUAUUACUAAGAAAUAUUUUCUGCAUUGGGGCGACUGUUUCCAGAAACAGCUGGUGCAGAAACAUUCUGUUAAACUUAGGCCGUGUUUUAUUUUUAAAGAUACUUCUACCCAGUGCAAAUUUUCACUCUGGAAAUUUCCUUCCAAUGUUUAAUCAGCCCUUGGGAAACGCACUCAUAGCAGCUGUUCUUUUGAAGCUGGCACAGCAGAUUGAGCUCUACACUAGAUAAAGUUUGCUUCUCAUAUCUCCCUUCAAAAUAGUCAACAUUUAAAAGCUGAGUUAGAUAUCUUUCCGCGUCAGCAGUGCUAACAAGUCCACUCAGCCUGUGCCUUCAGCUGUAUACUUCCAGCCUUUCAGGACUUCGUAGCGCUUUAGGGGCUCAAUCCUACGUCGUGUACUAAUUAUAAAAUGGAUGUGGCCUUAUUAUCUUGUUCGGGUUUUGCUUUUGGUCCACUUUUCCUUCUUUCACUUUCUUCUUUGUUCACAAGCACCUACUUGCUGAAGUCUACAUAUUUGAGAAGAGCAUCGUGUUUCCCCCUGUUCACAUUUUACAUGUUCAGGAACUGUUCUGCAUGACGCUGAAAUUCUCAAAAGCCUCAGCCUUGGGUUGUGAGAAAUCCUACACCAUUAAAUUUAACUUUCUCCGCCAGGUCUGCUGAAUCAGGCUCCAUGUCAGUGAUUCUGGAAGCAGCUCAGUCAUCUGCAGAUCAGGUCCCUGCCUGUGUAGGGCAUUGCUGGGAAAGCACGUCCACAACCUCAGCCCCAAGGAGCACAAGUACCAGAACAGCUGCGUUUAUCAGCAAAGACCAACUCUUCCAGUCCUAAUACAGCAGUGUGAGUAGAAAGAGCUUUACAUUUAGAGGUGCAGGAAGCAAAAGGCCUCUCUUGGAAGUCCACUUGAGGUGGAGACGUCUAGCAGCACCAGGACUCAGAAAGUUCUAAGACUGUCUGUACUCUCAAGAGCAUCUCCCUUGAGACAGAUGAAUAUCUAUUCAUUGCUAUCUCCACUUGCUGCAGAAAUCGAGUACUUCUGCAUGUGGGAGGCAUGGUGCAGCACAGAUUUAUCAUGGAAAAACAGAACACUCCUUGCUGAAGACACACAGCUAAUACCUCUGAAAGCUACAGGCCUGUUGGAGGGGAGCUAAAUCAUACACUGGUAUGUAUUUAAUCUUGCAGCCAUAAAAAGGGUGGUUUGGUGAAUCUUUCCUACACUGAAAUGCAAUACGGACUCCCUUUGCUGUUAGAGGUGAGAUGCACAAGCAUGUGCUGUGGGAUCUGGAUGCAAAAUGUGAGGCAAAUCCCCAGAGCAGCCUAAGAGCAGGGCUCAGACCACCAGGCGCUUUGUCUGUCCCCUGUUUGCCUCCCCAUGGGCUCCUCUAGCUCCCCACAUAGGUGCAGGCCACCAGAGACAGGCCGGGAGCAGCAAGCUCAUUGCUUAUUGCACAUGAAGAGCUGCAGGUUCUCAGCCAUGCUGUUGUGUAGCCUGCGGAGCAUAUUUUUGGCU
Molecule: long non-coding RNA, 1941 nt
Organism: Meleagris gallopavo (turkey)
Lineage: Eukaryota; Metazoa; Chordata; Aves; Galliformes; Phasianidae
Source: RefSeq, a predicted model, not a curated record